This 158-nucleotide ribosomal RNA is filed under the name uncultured Glomus. Its description in RNAcentral is "5.8S ribosomal RNA". It matches the Rfam family "5.8S ribosomal RNA". Rfam says of the family: 5.8S ribosomal RNA (5.8S rRNA) is a component of the large subunit of the eukaryotic ribosome. It is transcribed by RNA polymerase I as part of the 45S precursor that also contains 18S and 28S rRNA. Functionally, it is thought that 5.8S rRNA may be involved in ribosome translocation. The record is from RNAcentral. Lineage: Eukaryota; Fungi; Glomeromycota; Glomeromycetes; Glomerales; Glomeraceae.
UCACUUUCAACAACGGAUCUCUUGGCUCUCGCAUCGAUGAAGAACAUAGCGAAGUGCGAUAAGUAAUGUGAAUUGCAGUAUUCCGUGAAUCAUCGAAUCUUUGAACGCAUAUUGCACUUUCUGGUAUUCCGGAAAGUAUGCCUGUUUGAGGGUCAGUU